Non-coding RNA from Triticum aestivum (bread wheat), 100 nucleotides. NCBI's taxonomy places the organism in Eukaryota, Viridiplantae, Streptophyta, Magnoliopsida, Poales, Poaceae. The record is from Rfam.
UUAAUACUCCCUCCGUCCCAAAAUUCUUGUCUUAAAUGACUUGAUACAUCCACAUCUAGACAAUUUUAAGACAAGAAUUUUAGGACGGAGGGAGUAGCAA